GAUAACCGUGGUAAUUCUAGAGCUAAUACAUGCUGGUAGGCCCGACUUUUGCGGAAGGGCGGUAUUUAUUAGAUAACAAGCCAAUAUUCCUCUGGUCUAUUGUGGUGACUCAUAAUAACUGAUCGAAUCGCAAGGCCUUUGGCCGCGAUAAGUCAUUCAAGUUUCUGCCCCAUCAGCUUUCGAUGGUAGUGUAUUGGACUACCAUGGCGUUUACGGGUAACGGAGGAUUAGGGUUCGAUUCCGGAGAGGGAGCCUGAGAAACGGCUACCACAUCUAAGGAAGGCAGCAGGCGCGUAAAUUACCCAAUCCUGACUCAGGGAGGUAGUGACAAGAAAUAACGGACCGAGGCCUUCGGGCUUCGGGAUUGGAAUGAGCCGAAUUUACACCCCUUAGCGAAGAUCGAUUGGAGGGCAAGUCUGGUGCCAGCAGCCGCGGUAAUUCCAGCUCCAAUAGCGUAUAUUAAAGUUGUUGCAGUUAAAAAGCUCGUAGUUGGAUUUCUGGGAGGGUGCCGAUGUCCACUUAACGUGUGCGCAGCGGCGCCCUCUCAUCCUUCUGUUAGCGUCUCUUGGCAUUCAUUUGCUGGUGGCGGGCUCAGAUAUUUUACCUUGAGAAAAUUAGAGUGUUUCAGGCAGGCUAGGCCGGAAUACAUUAGCAUGGAAUAAUGGAAUAGGACUACGGUCUCUUUGUUGGUUUGAGGGACUGCAGUAAUGAUUAAUAGGGAUAGUUGGGGGCAUUAGUACUUAACUGUCAGAGGUGGAAUUCUCAGAUUUGUUAAAGACUGACUUAUGCGAAAGCAUUUGCCAAGGAUGUUUUCAUUAAUCAAGAACGAAAGUUAGGGGAGCAAAGACGAUCAGAUACCGUCCUAGUCUUAACCAUAAACUAUGCC
This 886-nucleotide ribosomal RNA is filed under the name uncultured eukaryote. RNAcentral's name for it is "SSU rRNA". It matches the Rfam family "Eukaryotic small subunit ribosomal RNA", at positions 142 to 1043 of the family's 1831-position model. The record is from RNAcentral.